UACGUAGGGAGCAAGCGUUGUCCGGAAUCAUUGGGCGUAAAGCGCGCGUAGGCGGCCCUGUAAGUCCGUUGUGAAAGUCAAAGGCUCAACCUUUGAAAGCCGAUGGAUACUGCAGGGCUAGAGUUCGGAAGAGGCGAGUGGAAUUCCUGGUGUAGCGGUGGAAUGCGCAGAUAUCAGGAGGAACACCAAUAGCGAAGGCAGCUCGCUGGGACGAUACUGACGCUAAGGCGCGAAAGCUAGGGGAGCGAACAGG
RNAcentral lists this ribosomal RNA (253 nucleotides) under uncultured bacterium. Its description in RNAcentral is "partial 16S ribosomal RNA". It matches the Rfam family "Bacterial small subunit ribosomal RNA", at positions 524 to 776 of the family's 1533-position model. The record is from RNAcentral.